AGCGAACGCUGGCGGCAGGCUUAACACAUGCAAGUCGAGCGGGCAUCCUUGUGGUGUCAGCGGCAGACGGGUGAGUAACGCGUGGGAACGUGCCCUUCGGUUCGGAAUAACUCAGGGAAACUUGAGCUAAUACCGGAUACGUGCGAGAGCAGAAAGGUUUAUCUGCCGAUGGAUCGGCCCGCGUCUGAUUAGCUAGUUGGUGAGGUUAUGGCUCACCAAGGCGACGAUCAGUAGCUGGUCUGAGAGGAUGAUCAGCCACACUGGGACUGAGACACGGCCCAGACUCCUACGGGAGGCAGCAGUGGGGAAUAUUGGACAAUGGGGGCAACCCUGAUCCAGCCAUGCCGCGUGAGUGAUGACGGCCUUAGGGUUGUAAAGCUCUUUUCUCCGGGACGAUAAUGACGGUACCGGAGGAAUAAGCCCCGGCUAACUUCGUG
RNAcentral lists this ribosomal RNA (437 nucleotides) under uncultured bacterium. RNAcentral describes it as "partial 16S ribosomal RNA". It matches the Rfam family "Bacterial small subunit ribosomal RNA", at positions 29 to 507 of the family's 1533-position model. The record is from RNAcentral.